This 2000-nucleotide ribosomal RNA is filed under the name Escherichia coli. RNAcentral describes it as "partial 23S ribosomal RNA". It matches the Rfam family "Bacterial large subunit ribosomal RNA", at positions 948 to 2925 of the family's 2925-position model. The record is from RNAcentral. Lineage: Bacteria; Pseudomonadati; Pseudomonadota; Gammaproteobacteria; Enterobacterales; Enterobacteriaceae.
UGCAAACUGCGAAUACCGGAGAAUGUUAUCACGGGAGACACACGGCGGGUGCUAACGUCCGUCGUGAAGAGGGAAACAACCCAGACCGCCAGCUAAGGUCCCAAAGUCAUGGUUAAGUGGGAAACGAUGUGGGAAGGCCCAGACAGCCAGGAUGUUGGCUUAGAAGCAGCCAUCAUUUAAAGAAAGCGUAAUAGCUCACUGGUCGAGUCGGCCUGCGCGGAAGAUGUAACGGGGCUAAACCAUGCACCGAAGCUGCGGCAGCGACACUAUGUGUUGUUGGGUAGGGGAGCGUUCUGUAAGCCUGUGAAGGUGGCCUGUGAGGGUUGCUGGAGGUAUCAGAAGUGCGAAUGCUGACAUAAGUAACGAUAAAGCGGGUGAAAAGCCCGCUCGCCGGAAGACCAAGGGUUCCUGUCCAACGUUAAUCGGGGCAGGGUGAGUCGACCCCUAAGGCGAGGCCGAAAGGCGUAGUCGAUGGGAAACAGGUUAAUAUUCCUGUACUUGGUGUUACUGCGAAGGGGGGACGGAGAAGGCUAUGUUGGCCGGGCGACGGUUGUCCCGGUUUAAGCGUGUAGGCUGGUUUUCCAGGCAAAUCCGGAAAACCAAGGCUGAGGCGUGAUGACGAGGCACUACGGUGCUGAAGCGACAAAUGCCCUGCUUCCAGGAAAAGCCUCUAAGCAUCAGGUAACAUCAAAUCGUACCCCAAACCGACACAGGUGGUCAGGUAGAGAAUACCAAGGCGCUUGAGAGAACUCGGGUGAAGGAACUAGGCAAAAUGGUGCCGUAACUUCGGGAGAAGGCACGCUGAUAUGUAGGUGAAGCGACUUGCUCGUGGAGCUGAAAUCAGUCGAAGAUACCAGCUGGCUGCAACUGUUUAUUAAAAACACAGCACUGUGCAAACACGAAAGUGGACGUAUACGGUGUGACGCCUGCCCGGUGCCGGAAGGUUAAUUGAUGGGGUUAGCGGUAACGCGAAGCUCUUGAUCGAAGCCCCGGUAAACGGCGGCCGUAACUAUAACGGUCCUAAGGUAGCGAAAUUCCUUGUCGGGUAAGUUCCGACCUGCACGAAUGGCGUAAUGAUGGCCAGGCUGUCUCCACCCGAGACUCAGUGAAAUUGAACUCGCUGUGAAGAUGCAGUGUACCCGCGGCAAGACGGAAAGACCCCGUGAACCUUUACUAUAGCUUGACACUGAACAUUGAGCCUUGAUGUGUAGGAUAGGUGGGAGGCUUUGAAGUGUGGACGCCAGUCUGCAUGGAGCCGACCUUGAAAUACCACCCUUUAAUGUUUGAUGUUCUAACGUUGGCCCGUAAUCCGGGUUGCGGACAGUGUCUGGUGGGUAGUUUGACUGGGGCGGUCUCCUCCUAAAGAGUAACGGAGGAGCACGAAGGUUGGCUAAUCCUGGUCGGACAUCAGGAGGUUAGUGCAAUGGCAUAAGCCAGCUUGACUGCGAGCGUGACGGCGCGAGCAGGUGCGAAAGCAGGUCAUAGUGAUCCGGUGGUUCUGAAUGGAAGGGCCAUCGCUCAACGGAUAAAAGGUACUCCGGGGAUAACAGGCUGAUACCGCCCAAGAGUUCAUAUCGACGGCGGUGUUUGGCACCUCGAUGUCGGCUCAUCACAUCCUGGGGCUGAAGUAGGUCCCAAGGGUAUGGCUGUUCGCCAUUUAAAGUGGUACGCGAGCUGGGUUUAGAACGUCGUGAGACAGUUCGGUCCCUAUCUGCCGUGGGCGCUGGAGAACUGAGGGGGGCUGCUCCUAGUACGAGAGGACCGGAGUGGACGCAUCACUGGUGUUCGGGUUGUCAUGCCAAUGGCACUGCCCGGUAGCUAAAUGCGGAAGAGAUAAGUGCUGAAAGCAUCUAAGCACGAAACUUGCCCCGAGAUGAGUUCUCCCUGAGACUUAGAGUCUCCUGAAGGAACGUUGAAGACGACGACGUUGAUAGGCCGGGUGUGUAAGCGCAGCGAUGCGUUGAGCUAACCGGUACUAAUGAACCGUGAGGCUUAACCUU